GCAUCUGUGGUGGAAUGGCAGACACGCUGGAUUUAGGUUCCAGUGCCGAAAGGCGUGUGGGUUCAACUCCCACCAGAUGCA
This 81-nucleotide transfer RNA is filed under the name Kiritimatiellia bacterium. RNAcentral's name for it is "Kiritimatiellae bacterium (gut metagenome) tRNA-Leu". It matches the Rfam family "tRNA". Rfam says of the family: Transfer RNA (tRNA) molecules are approximately 80 nucleotides in length. Their secondary structure includes four short double-helical elements and three loops (D, anti-codon, and T loops). The record is from RNAcentral. Lineage: Bacteria; Pseudomonadati; Kiritimatiellota; Kiritimatiellia.